GACGUAGGGCGCGAGCGUUGUCCGGAUUUAUUGGGCGUAAAGAGCUCGUAGGCGGCUCGUUGCGUCAACCGUGAAAACCCGGGGCUUAACUUCGGGCUUGCGGUUGAUACGGGCGGGCUGGAGUUCGGUAGGGGAGACUGGAAUUCCUGGUGUAGCGGUGAAAUGCGUAGAGAUCGGGAGGAACACCAGAGGCGAAGGCGGCGACCUGGACAAGCACUGACACUCAACUACGAAAGCGUGGGGAGCAAACAGG
This 253-nucleotide ribosomal RNA is filed under the name uncultured bacterium. RNAcentral describes it as "partial 16S ribosomal RNA". It matches the Rfam family "Bacterial small subunit ribosomal RNA", at positions 524 to 776 of the family's 1533-position model. The record is from RNAcentral.